RNAcentral lists this non-coding RNA (299 nucleotides) under Microcebus murinus (gray mouse lemur). The record is from RNAcentral. Lineage: Eukaryota; Metazoa; Chordata; Mammalia; Primates; Cheirogaleidae.
UGAGGCAGGAGGAUCGCUCGAGCCCAGGAGUUUGAGGUUGCUGUGAGCUAGGCUGACGCCACGGCACUCAUUCUAGCCUAGGCAACAAAGCGAGACUCUGUCUCAAAAAAAAAAAAAAAUCUAUUCUGAGGUUUUUUUUUUUUUUUUUUUGAGACAGAGUCUCGCUUUGUUGUCCAGGCUAGAGGGAGUGCCGUGGUGUCAGCCUAGCUCACAGCAACCUCAAACUCCUGGGCUCAAGGAUCCUUCUGCCUCAGCCUCCCCAGUAGCUGGGACUACAGGCAUGCGCCACCAUGCCCGGC